Molecule: long non-coding RNA, 232 nt
Filed under: Ananas comosus (pineapple)
Lineage: Eukaryota; Viridiplantae; Streptophyta; Magnoliopsida; Poales; Bromeliaceae
Description: long non-coding RNA (ACOM_LNC029315)
Source: RNAcentral
AUAUGCUAAGAAAUCAUAUAAUAAAUUAUCGUCAAAAUAAUGAAAGUGGAGUAAAACCGAUAAUUAAUAUAAAUUUAACUCAAGAUGAAUUUGAGACGAUUAAGACACCUUUAAAAUUUAAUCUCCCCAAAUUAAUGAUUUUAAAACAUCACCUCUCUCAAAAUUUUUUCAUAUUUUAAUUCCCAAUCAUUUUUCUCGAAAAGAUUUUAAAAAUAAAUUUCAAGCACCAAAA